RNAcentral lists this ribosomal RNA (396 nucleotides) under Triticum aestivum (bread wheat). Its description in RNAcentral is "partial small subunit ribosomal RNA". The record is from RNAcentral. Lineage: Eukaryota; Viridiplantae; Streptophyta; Magnoliopsida; Poales; Poaceae.
AUGGCAAUUAAGGACCAGGAGAAGACAACAUUUAUAACUCCCUUUGGAGCCUUCUGCUAUGUGUCUAUGCCCUUCGGUCUCAAGAGUGCCCAGGCAACUUACCAACGGUGUGUACAAAAUUGUCUUCACAAGCAGAUUGGCCGUAAUGUACAUGCUUACGUGGAUGAUAUCGUGGUUAAAUCCAGGGAGAAGGAGACUCUGAUUGAUGAUUUGAAGGAAACCUUUGAUAACCUGAGAACAUACAAGAUGAUGCUUAAUCCGGACAAGUGUGUCUUUGGUGUACCGGCGGGCAAGCUAUUGGGUUUUCUAGUGUCCAACAGGGGAAUUGAGGCUAAUCCAGAGAAGAUCACGGCUAUCACCUCCCUGGCUAAACCGAAGUGUAUCAACGAUGUUUAA